AAUGAGAUUUAACACCUAACCUGAGGCAAGGACAAAUUUGAAAUUUGUUGGAAUGAAUGGAUAGAAUGCAGGCAUCCAUUGAUUUUCAACUUGCAAUGACAUAGGCCAUCAAUCACGGAAACAAAUCCACGUCGACAGUGUAUGCAGAGAUGAGGGCAGCGCAGGCACAAGCUGGUGAGACCAGGUCACACACCUGUCCUGGCCGAGUUUUAUCAAGCUGUUAAAGAGUAUCAGCCAAUGACCACCAUCGGACAAGAUACACUUACAAUUCCUUUGAAUUUCAUGGGAACUAUUGGAUCCUCACACGGGAGUCAGUCCCUUUGUUUUGACUCCUAUUGAGAAGGAAGUCAUUAUUCCUCAAAGUGAGUAUCUGAUGUGCAUGUGGGAAAUAUUUACUUUUUGGUUGAUUACUUGCUCUUAUAGCUUAUAGUUUUUCCAGCUUUAUUGAGGUAUAACUAGCAAAUAAAAAUUGUAUAUAUUUGAAGUAUACA
Molecule: long non-coding RNA, 491 nt
Filed under: Neogale vison (American mink)
Lineage: Eukaryota; Metazoa; Chordata; Mammalia; Carnivora; Mustelidae
Description: Neovison vison (American mink) lncRNA (ENSNVIG00000018527.1)
Source: RNAcentral